AAUAUUCGUCCUAGCAAAUCGUGCCCAGCCAUUCCAUUCACUGCUCAUCUGUUUACCUGUGAUAGUAUUUGAUGAUACACAUAUAGAGUCGAACAAAACACGAUGUUUCCAGGAUACUAAACUUGUAAGGGAACAGCGUAUCCUAAAAAGGAUUUAUGAUUAAACUCGGCAAGAUGCACGCCAUCGAGAUUGACUCGGCAGAACGAGAAAAAAUCCCCAUGAUUCUGGUGCAAGUAUUCAUGUUGGGGAUGAUCUUUCUAGGAUUCAUCGUCAUUUGGCAAAUCUACAUCAUGAAUCAAUUUCUCUCAGAAAUCAGCGAGGAGCUGGGAAAUGGGAAAAUACAGCUACAGAUGAAGGGUGUGAACAAAGACAGAAUCUUAAGAAAAAUUAUGAAUUUAGAUUGAUUUCUUUAAAAUAUUUUGAUGUUUUUCUUUGCAAUUCCCGAUCUGAUUUAAAUUUUUAGAACAAAGCCUAUAAUAGCUGCAGAUCUGUAGCUCACUCGUCUUGUACAAAAUGGGAUGGACGACCAUGAAUAUCUAUUUAGAUCAAAGUGCUGACGAGUAAGGAACUGUAGCUCAGAGAUCGUCCAUUUCAUUUUUUUUUUUUGCAAGCUAAGUCCAUAAUAGAAGGAAUACUUAAGUUUUUACAGCAUGUAGCUCUCUCUCAGUUACAACAGUUUUAAAACAUUCACUUACUUCUAACGUGCUUUUAUGUAAUUGCUUUAAGGAAAUAUAAGGAGAAAGUUGUCCUUAA
Saccostrea echinata is the source of this 753-nucleotide long non-coding RNA. RefSeq lists it as uncharacterized. The transcript is spliced from 2 exons. NCBI's taxonomy places the organism in Eukaryota, Metazoa, Mollusca, Bivalvia, Ostreida, Ostreidae. The record is from RefSeq and is a predicted model, not a curated record.